GGGCGAUUAGCUCAGUUGGUUAGAGCGCUACACUGAUAAUGUAGAGGUCGGAAGUUCAAAUCUUCCAUCGCCCACCA
This 77-nucleotide transfer RNA is filed under the name Candidatus Peregrinibacteria bacterium CG10_big_fil_rev_8_21_14_0_10_36_19. RNAcentral describes it as "tRNA-Ile". It matches the Rfam family "tRNA". Rfam says of the family: Transfer RNA (tRNA) molecules are approximately 80 nucleotides in length. The record is from RNAcentral. Lineage: Bacteria; Candidatus Peregrinibacteriota.